GACGAACGCUGGCGGCGUGCUUAACACAUGCAAGUCGAACGGGAUUUAGUAGACAGAAGCCUCGGCUAAAGAUUACUAAUGGGAGUGGCGAACGGGUGAGUAACGCGUGAGCAACCUGCCUAUGACAGUGGGAUAGCCUCGGGAAACCGGGAUUAAUACCGCAUAAAAUCGUAGAAACACAUGUUUCAACGGUCAAAGAUUUAUCGGUCAUAGAUGGGCUCGCGUCUGACUAGCUAGUUGGCGAGAUAACAGCCCACCAAGGCGACGAUCAGUAGCCGGUCUGAGAGGAUGAACCGCCACAUUGGAACUGAGACACGGUCCAAACUCCUACGGGAGGCAGCAGUGGGGAAUAUUGCACAAUGGGGGAAACCCUGAUGCAGCGACGCCGCGUGAACGAAGAAGGUAUUCGUAUCGUAAAGUUCUGUCCUAUGGGAAGAUAAUGACAGUACCAUAGAAGAAAGCUCCGGCUAAAUACGUG
Molecule: ribosomal RNA, 478 nt
Filed under: uncultured bacterium
Lineage: Bacteria
Description: partial 16S ribosomal RNA
Rfam family: Bacterial small subunit ribosomal RNA
Source: RNAcentral